Molecule: ribosomal RNA, 469 nt
Filed under: uncultured bacterium
Lineage: Bacteria
Description: partial 16S ribosomal RNA
Rfam family: Bacterial small subunit ribosomal RNA
Source: RNAcentral
GGACGAACGCUGGCGGCGUGCUUAACACAUGCAAGUCGAACGGAAAGGCCUUGCUUUUGUGGGGUGCUCGAGUGGCGAACGGGUGAGUAACACGUGAGUAACCUGCCCUUGACUUUGGGAUAACUUCAGGAAACUGGGGCUAAUACCGGAUAGGAGCUCCUGCUGCAUGGUGGGGGUUGGAAAGUUUCGGCGGUUGGGGAUGGACUCGCGGCUUAUCAGCUUGUUGGUGGGGUAGUGGCUUACCAAGGCUUUGACGGGUAGCCGGCCUGAGAGGGUGACCGGCCACAUUGGGACUGAGAUACGGCCCAGACUCCUACGGGAGGCAGCAGUGGGGAAUAUUGCACAAUGGGCGGAAGCCUGAUGCAGCAACGCCGCGUGCGGGAUGACGGCCUUCGGGUUGUAAACCGCUUUCGCCUGUGACGAAGCGUGAGUGACGGUAAUGGGUAAAGAAGCACCGGCUAACUACGUG